Molecule: ribosomal RNA, 468 nt
Filed under: uncultured bacterium
Lineage: Bacteria
Description: partial 16S ribosomal RNA
Rfam family: Bacterial small subunit ribosomal RNA
Source: RNAcentral
GACGAACGCUGGCGGCGUGCUUAACACAUGCAAGUCGAACGGAAAGGCCCUGCUUUUGUGGGGUGCUCGAGUGGCGAACGGGGGAGUAACACGUGAGUAACCUGCCCUUGACUUUGGGAUAACUUCAGGAAACUGGGGCUAAUACCGGAUAGGAGCUCCUGCUGCAUGGUGGGGGUUGGAAAGUUUCGGCGGUUGGGGAUGGACUCGCGGCUUAUCAGCUUGUUGGUGGGGUAGUGGCUUACCAAGGCUUUGACGGGUAGCCGGCCUGAGAGGGUGACCGGCCACAUUGGGACUGAGAUACGGCCCAGACUCCUACGGGAGGCAGCAGUGGGGAAUAUUGCACAAUGGGCGGAAGCCUGAUGCAGCAACGCCGCGUGCGGGAUGACGGCCUUCGGGUUGUAAACCGCUUUCGCCUGUGACGAAGCGUGAGUGACGGUAAUGGGUAAAGAAGCACCGGCUAACUACGUG